This 700-nucleotide ribosomal RNA is filed under the name uncultured beta proteobacterium. Its description in RNAcentral is "bacterial SSU rRNA". It matches the Rfam family "Bacterial small subunit ribosomal RNA", at positions 80 to 776 of the family's 1533-position model. Lineage: Bacteria; Pseudomonadati; Pseudomonadota; Betaproteobacteria. The record is from RNAcentral.
UCGGUCUGGUGGCGAGUGGCGAACGGGUGAGUAAUGCAUCGGAACGUGCCCAACUGUGGGGGAUAGCUCGGCGAAAGCCGGAUUAAUACCGCAUACGAUCCACGGAUGAAAGCGGGGGACCUUCGGGCCUCGCGCAGUUGGAGCGGCCGAUGUUAGAUUAGGUAGUUGGUGGGGUAAAGGCUCACCAAGCCGACGAUCUAUAGCUGGUCUGAGAGGACGACCAGCCACACUGGGACUGAGACACGGCCCAGACUCCUACGGGAGGCAGCAGUGGGGAAUUUUGGACAAUGGGCGCAAGCCUGAUCCAGCAAUACCGCGUGCAGGAAGAAGGCCUUCGGGUUGUAAACUGCUUUUGUACGGAACGAAAAGGUCUGGGUUAAUACCCUGGGCUCAUGACGGUACCGUAAGAAUAAGCACCGGCUAACUACGUGCCAGCAGCCGCGGUAAUACGUAGGGUGCAAGCGUUAAUCGGAAUUACUGGGCGUAAAGCGUGCGCAGGCGGUUAUGUAAGACAGGCGUGAAAUCCCCGGGCUCAACCUGGGAAUUGCGCUUGUGACUGCAUAACUAGAGUACGGUAGAGGGGGAUGGAAUUCCGCGUGUAGCAGUGAAAUGCGUAGAUAUGCGGAGGAACACCAAUGGCGAAGGCAGUCCCCUGGACCUGUACUGACGCUCAUGCACGAAAGCGUGGGGAGCAAACAGG